This 21-nucleotide unclassified non-coding RNA is filed under the name Chlamydomonas reinhardtii. RNAcentral's name for it is "small RNA Cre_0042". The record is from RNAcentral. Lineage: Eukaryota; Viridiplantae; Chlorophyta; Chlorophyceae; Chlamydomonadales; Chlamydomonadaceae.
AACAAAGGCGUACUACUGACG